Molecule: ribosomal RNA, 259 nt
Filed under: uncultured prokaryote
Description: partial 16S ribosomal RNA
Rfam family: Bacterial small subunit ribosomal RNA
Source: RNAcentral
UACGGAGGGUGCAAGCGUUAUCCGGAUUUAUUGGGUUUAAAGGGUGCACAGGUGGUUUAAUAAGUCAGUGGUGAAAGUCUGCCGCUUAACGGUAGGAUUGCCAUUGAUACUGUUGGACUUGAAUAUGGAUGAGGUAGGCGGAAUGUGUAGUGUAGCGGUGAAAUGCUUAGAUAUUACACAGAACACCGAUUGCGAAGGCAGCUUACUAAUCCAUGAUUGACGCUGAGGCACGAAAGCGUGGGGAUCAAACAGGAUUAGA